UACGUAGGGUGCAAGCGUUAAUCGGAAUUACUGGGCGUAAAGCGCACGUAGGCGGUUUUUUAAGUCAGAUGUGAAAGCCCCGGGCUCAACCUGGGAAUUGCAUUUGAAACUGGGGAACUAGAGUGUGUGAGAGGGGGGUAGAAUUCCAAGUGUAGCGGUGAAAUGCGUAGAGAUUUGGAGGAAUACCAGUGGCGAAGGCGGCCCCCUGGCACAAUACUGACGCUGAGGUGCGAAAGCGUGGGGAGCAAACAGG
RNAcentral lists this ribosomal RNA (253 nucleotides) under uncultured bacterium. Its description in RNAcentral is "partial 16S ribosomal RNA". It matches the Rfam family "Bacterial small subunit ribosomal RNA", at positions 524 to 776 of the family's 1533-position model. The record is from RNAcentral.